Molecule: ribosomal RNA, 468 nt
Filed under: uncultured bacterium
Lineage: Bacteria
Description: partial 16S ribosomal RNA
Rfam family: Bacterial small subunit ribosomal RNA
Source: RNAcentral
GACGAACGCUGGCGGCGUGCUUAACACAUGCAAGUCGAACGGAAAGGCCCUGCUUUUGUGGGGUGCUCGAGUGGCGAACGGGUGAGUAACACGUUAGUAACCUGCCCUUGACUUUGGGAUAACUUCAGGAAACUUGGGCUAAUACCGGAUAGGAGCUCCUGCUGCAUGGUGGGGGUUGGAAAGUUUCGGCGGUUGGGGCUGGACUCGCGGCUUAUCAGCUUGUUGGUGGGGUAGUGGCUUACCAAGGCUUUGACGGGUAGCCGGACUGAGAGGGUGACAGGCCACAUAGGGACUGAGAUACGGCCCAGACUCAUACGGGAGGCAGCAGUGGGGAAUAUUGCAAAAUGGGCGGAAGCAUGAAGCAGCAACGCCGCGUGCGGGAUGACGGCCUUCGGGUUGUAAACCGCUUUCGCCUGUGACGAAGCGUGAGUGACGGUAAUGGGUAAAGAAGCAACGGCUAACUACGUG